Lepisosteus oculatus (spotted gar) is the source of this 279-nucleotide long non-coding RNA. RefSeq lists it as uncharacterized. Lineage: Eukaryota; Metazoa; Chordata; Actinopteri; Semionotiformes; Lepisosteidae. The record is from RefSeq and is a predicted model, not a curated record.
CCCGGCCUUCCUGUCCUCUACAACAGCCUGGACGCCGAAGCGCAGAGCUCCCGUGUGGCGUGAAACUGGACAGAUGAGCGGUCAGUUCGAAGAAGCAGUUGUUCCCGGAGAGCAGCCGGUCUCACCUCGCCGUCCCAGGUGCCCACCGUCUCUCCGGCCGGCUGUCCUGACUGGAGCGUUUCCUCUCCCGGGGCUCCAGACUGUGGGCCGCCGGAGCGUUACGACUAUACUGUUUUGUUCCAAUUUUGCAAUAAAUUGGUGUCCUUGGAUUUUCUUAAA